Molecule: long non-coding RNA, 804 nt
Organism: Symphalangus syndactylus (siamang)
Lineage: Eukaryota; Metazoa; Chordata; Mammalia; Primates; Hylobatidae
Source: RefSeq, a predicted model, not a curated record
CCCGCAGGAAGGAAGGCGGCGCGCGCCCCGGCCCGCCGAGCCGUUCCUGGCCGCCGCGCGCCGCAUUGUCUCGGCGUUCCGGGCCCCGCGCGCCGCGCCCAUACCCCGCCCCCAGCCGCCCGAGGCCCGGACUCCGACCCGCGGCCGGCGAGGGUGCGUGUGGAGGUGCGCCCGGCCGGAGUCCGGCCCCGUGCGCGCCAACCGCCCCCCGCCCACGGCGCGGAGCACCUCUGGGCUCCCCACUUGAACGGCGGGCCGCGCCGGCCCAUGAGGAAAGCGGGGUGCAGAGCUCGCCCCCUGCCGGACGAUGCGCUCCGCCCGCGGGCACCCUGCGGGGACCACAGCCGGGCGUCAGAAGUGACCUGACUGUGAAUGAGCCUCAUUUCGGUUCCAGUUUCAGUAUGGUGGUGGCAUGACACCGUCACAUAUGAGCUAAGGACUCCUGUCGCCUCAACCCUUGCUACUCAAAGUGUGGUCCUCAGAUCAGCUGCCCUGGCAUCACCUGGGAGCCUGGCAGAAGUGCAGAACCUUGGACCUGGUGAAUCAGAGCCUGCUCUUCAGCAAGAUCCUCAGGCAAUGUGUUUGCACUUUACAAUUUGAGAAGCAUUGUUCUAGCAUACGUAUGGAUACAGCAUAAGCGAGGAGUUGAUAUUCCCACUUGUCAGAAGCAGUAUUCCAAGUUAGGUAAACUAUACUGAUAGGACUCAAUAAAACCUGAAGGGUUAAGGUUUUUUCUGGUCCUAAGAUUUAGGAAAGUUCCUUUCGUUUCUGAAGUGCCAUGCUGUAAUAUACUCUGUCUAGCUG